Fopius arisanus is the source of this 544-nucleotide long non-coding RNA. RefSeq lists it as uncharacterized. The record is from RefSeq and is a predicted model, not a curated record. Lineage: Eukaryota; Metazoa; Arthropoda; Insecta; Hymenoptera; Braconidae. The transcript has 3 exons.
AGAGAUCAUCGACUGUAUUCUCCUAAAUUAAUGAACUCUCCGUCCAAGUGAUUAAUUAAUCAAGUGUUGACUCCCUUUAUUUUCACGAUGUAACAAUAUUCUUGGCACACAUUAAGAACAAAGUAUUGACGUCAGCACCGUUGAAACCCUCCAAGUGGUUCAGGUAAAAUAGGAGAAAGCAGGACAGUUCGUAACGUUGGCGGAAAAGAAAUCUGACUUGGCGCCUGCGCCGCAAUGGAAAAAGGUGUCCUAACCUCGUCUUCGCCUCAGUUGGAGAAUGAAAGAGCGCUACUGAAAUAUUCCAACACCAACUUGAUAUGAACAAAUCGCAUGGUGCAUAAGGUGUUCUCCUUCGGGCCCUACAACUUUGAUCUGACAAUUUUUUCAAUUGGCGCCUUCUUUUAAAAGUUAUUUGACUGUACAAAUUCAAAUAGGAGACCCUGUAUAUAGCAACUACGAAAGAAAAUUAUCAAAAAAUGAUCCGCACAACAUCAUGUAGGUUGUACUAGGUGACGGCGAAUGGUGCAAUUCUAUUGGUCAAUAU